GACGAAGGUGGCGAGCGUUGUUCGGAAUCAUUGGGCUUAAAGGGCGCGUAGGCGGCUCAUCAAGUGUCUUGUGAAAUCCCUCGGCUUAACCGAGGAAUUGCUGGGCAUACUGUUGAGCUUGAGGCAGGUAUGGGCGAGUGGAACUCUUGGUGGAGCGGUGGAAUGCGUAGAUAUCAAGAGGAACGCCGGUGGUGAAGACGAUUCGCUGGGCCUGUCCUGACGCUGAGGCGCGAAAGCCAGGGGAGCAAACGGG
RNAcentral lists this ribosomal RNA (253 nucleotides) under uncultured bacterium. RNAcentral describes it as "partial 16S ribosomal RNA". It matches the Rfam family "Bacterial small subunit ribosomal RNA", at positions 524 to 776 of the family's 1533-position model. The record is from RNAcentral.